UAUGCGUUAUUAUUAGAGUUUUCGUGUCAAAAUUUUCAGUGUGAAAUAAUAUAUAAAAAAAAAAAAAAAUUAAAAAAAAGGAUUUAAAUUUUUUAAUUAAUUCAAAAGUGAUCUGAAUAAAGAAAGGAAAAAAAAAUUUCAUUGCAAUUUUAGAAUGAAUUGUAAUUUUUACCAAACUAUUGAUAAGACUGCAAAGUCUGAAAAUCAGAUGAAAGGUGGUAAAAAAAGUUAUUUAUUUCUAUACAAAUGUUGACAGUGAAUGUGCACGCUUCUCCUUUAUCGGGAUUUUAUAUUUUAUUAUCAUUAGUAAGUUGGCUCUGCAUUUGCCGUUGGGGAUUUCGAUAUGAUAUGCGAGAUCAAGAAGUAGUUUAUCAUCUUGUUGUCUAUUUCAUUGUGGUCACUCUGUUAAAUAUGAUUUUUCUAGGACAUAUCCAAUUUUUUAGUGAAGAAACAAUUGUAAAGGAAUGACGUUUAUUUGUUAAAAAAAAAGAAGAAAAAAAAAUUGUUAAAUAAUAUUGUUAAAAAAAAAUUUCAAAUAUAAAUCAUAAAAUAGAAUCUUUAAAAUAAG
This is a long non-coding RNA of Leptopilina boulardi, 568 nucleotides long. RefSeq lists it as uncharacterized. Lineage: Eukaryota; Metazoa; Arthropoda; Insecta; Hymenoptera; Figitidae. The record is from RefSeq and is a predicted model, not a curated record. The transcript is spliced from 3 exons.